Molecule: ribosomal RNA, 120 nt
Filed under: Pteropus alecto (black flying fox)
Lineage: Eukaryota; Metazoa; Chordata; Mammalia; Chiroptera; Pteropodidae
Source: RNAcentral
AUCUACCGCCAUGCCACCCUGAACAAGCCCCAUCCCAUCCGAUCUUGGAAGUUAAGCAGGGCCGGACUUGGUUAGUACUUGGAUAGGAGACCACCUUAGGAAGACCGGGUGCUGUAGGCC